UCACUGCUGAGGAGUUCCAUAAUAGGACGGGACGGCCGUCCAGUGG
Schistosoma mansoni is the source of this 46-nucleotide non-coding RNA. The record is from Rfam. NCBI's taxonomy places the organism in Eukaryota, Metazoa, Platyhelminthes, Trematoda, Strigeidida, Schistosomatidae.